RNAcentral lists this transfer RNA (73 nucleotides) under Treponema sp. Its description in RNAcentral is "tRNA-Met". It matches the Rfam family "tRNA". From Rfam's summary of the family: Transfer RNA (tRNA) molecules are approximately 80 nucleotides in length. Their secondary structure includes four short double-helical elements and three loops (D, anti-codon, and T loops). Further hydrogen bonds mediate the characteristic L-shaped molecular structure. tRNAs have two regions of fundamental functional importance: the anti-codon, which is responsible for specific mRNA codon recognition, and the 3' end, to which the tRNAs corresponding amino acid is attached (by aminoacyl-tRNA synthetases). tRNAs cope with the degeneracy of the genetic code in two manners: having more than one tRNA (with a specific anti-codon) for a particular amino acid; and 'wobble' base-pairing, i.e. permitting non-standard base-pairing at the 3rd anti-codon position. Lineage: Bacteria; Pseudomonadati; Spirochaetota; Spirochaetia; Treponematales; Treponemataceae. The record is from RNAcentral.
CGCAGGGUGGAGCAGUUGGAAGCUCGUUGGGCUCAUAACCCAAAGGCCGGGGGUUCAAGUCCCUCCCCUGCUA